AUGGCGACGAUGACGACCACCACGACCACGAAGACGGCGCUGCGCCACCGCGGGUGCUGCGGGCACGCGCCGGCGCCGGAGGACGACGGCGACCUGGUGGCGCUGUCGAGCGCGGCCGGGGAGGAGCUCGGGAAGGAGGCCGCCAGGUGGGCCGGCGGGCUGCCGCGGCUGAAGCGGUUCGAGGAGCUGCCGGACUACCUGCGCGACAACGAGUUUAUCCGCGGCGGCUACCGCUGCGAAUGGUCCGUCCGCGACGCGCUCCGCAGCGUCUUCGCCUGGCACAACGAGACGCUCAACGUCUGGACCCAUCUGGGGGGCUUCUUCCUGUUCCUGGGCCUCGCCGUCGCCGGCCAGACGGAGUGGCGGCCGACCGGAGCAGCCGCCGCGCCGGGGUUCAUGACGAUGGUGAUGACGUCCGCCAACGCGUCCUCGUUGGCGACCAACAACAGUUCGAGCAUGGCAAUCCAGAGCGCGCUGGCGUCGGGCAUGGGCGGCGCGGGGCACGCGGUGGCGCGGUGGCCGCGGACGGUGUUCGUGUUCGGGGCCAUGACGUGCCUGUCGGUGAGCGCGGCGGCGCACCUGCUGGCGAGCCACUCGCGCCGCUUCAACCGGCUCUUCUGGCAGCUCGACUACGCCGGCAUCGCCGUCAUGAUCGUCGCCUCCUUCUUCCCGCCGGUCUACUACACCUUCCUCGGCAGCCCCGCGGCGCAAUUCAUCUACCUCUCCGCCAUCACGCUGCUCGGCGUGCUCGUCGUGGCGGCGCUCCUGGUGCCCGCCCGCUCGUCGCCGCGGCUCAGGCACCUUCGCGCGGGCCUCUUCGUGUCCAUGGGGCUCUCGGGCGUCGUGCCGGCGCUGCACGCGCUCUGGCUCAACUGGGGCCACCCGGAGUGCUACCUGGCGCUGUCGCUCGAGCUGGCCAUGGGGCUCGUGUACGCCACGGGCGCCGGCUUCUACGUCGCGCGCGUGCCGGAGCGGUGGCGCCCGGGCAUGUUCGACUGCGUGGGGCACAGCCACCAGAUCUUCCACGUGUUGGUGCUCGUCGGCGCGGUCACGCACUACGCUGCCACCGCCAUCCUCAUCGGCUGGCGCGACGCCCUGGCCGCGGCCGCGUCGGCGCUCUUGUGA
This 1125-nucleotide ribosomal RNA is filed under the name Triticum aestivum (bread wheat). RNAcentral's name for it is "partial small subunit ribosomal RNA". The record is from RNAcentral. Lineage: Eukaryota; Viridiplantae; Streptophyta; Magnoliopsida; Poales; Poaceae.